Molecule: ribosomal RNA, 418 nt
Filed under: Craspedolepta formosa
Lineage: Eukaryota; Metazoa; Arthropoda; Insecta; Hemiptera; Aphalaridae
Description: partial 16S ribosomal RNA
Rfam family: Bacterial large subunit ribosomal RNA
Source: RNAcentral
AAACAUCUCUGGAUGAGUUAAAUAUUUGGUAUCUCCUGCUCCAUGCAAGGUAAAUAGCUGCAGUAUUUUGACUGUACAAAGGUAGCAUAAUCACUAGUUUUUUAAUUGAAAGCUUGAAUGAAUGGAGAAAUGUAAAAUUAUCUUUAUUAUAUGGAAUUGAAUUUUAUUUUUAAGUUAAAAAGCUUAAUUUGUUUAAAGGGACGAGAAGACCCUAUAGAAUUUGAAGUAUUUUUUUAUUGGGGUAAUAGAAACAAACUUUCUUUUUUUUCAUUGAUAAAUGAUAAAUGAUCCUAAUUUAGAUAAUAAGAACAAAUUACCUUAGGGAUAACAGCAUAAUUUUUUUUAAAAGAUCUAAUUAAUGAAAAAGAUUAUGACCUCGAUGUUGAAUUAAAUCUUAAUUGGGUGUAGAAGUUCAAUA